Cephalotus follicularis is the source of this 119-nucleotide ribosomal RNA. The record is from Rfam. NCBI's taxonomy places the organism in Eukaryota, Viridiplantae, Streptophyta, Magnoliopsida, Oxalidales, Cephalotaceae.
AGGUGCGUUCAUGCCAGAACUAAUGCACCGGAUCCCAUCAGAACUCCGCAGUUAAGCGUGCUUGGGCGAGAGUAGUACUGGGAUGGGUGAGCUCCUCGGAAGUCAUCGUGUUGCACCCC